UCUCCAUCACCUGAUCUCAGGUGAUCCACCCACCUCAGCCUCCCAAAGUGCUGGGACUACAGGCAUGAGCCACCACGCCUGGCCGAGAGACAGUUAAGUUAUACUUUAAAUGAUAAUAGGCCUCCCCCAAAACUCAGCUGCUUUUGUAAAGCUAAUGGGAGGCCAUCAGGCUGGGGGCAAGGAGGAGAGCCCGGAUCCUGCUAAGGUGCAGACAUAAACGAGUAUCAGCCAUUAUUCUGGAGGUUAUAAGAUAUGCACCUUCCCCAAUUACCCCUGCAAUCACACCAUUAUUGUAGAUUGGCCCUUAGAGUAUCUUUUCAGGUUUUUUGGCAUGUCUGACACUCAUGGCUCUACUUGGACCCACCAACCCUGCUCCUAUGGCUCCACCCAGAAGCCAUUCAGCCUAGAGGACAGCUCUGACCCCCCCUGUGAUUUCAUACAAUCAGCAGCAAGUAACUGUUACCUCACCAUCCCCACCCCUUCUGCCAGACUGCCUUUGAAAAACCUCUAACCUGUGAGCACGAGAUGAUUCCAGAACAAACUCUGUCUCCCAUGUGGCAUGACCAGCCUUGGGUCUCUUAAACUUUUUCUCCACUAUAAUGCCAUGGUCUUUAUGCAGCAGGCAGGAAGAAUUCAGGUGGUUAUAAUUCCGUAUGUGCUUUUUGAACAUUUUUCUACUGGGCUAUUGCUCUCUUCAUAAUGAUUUUUUUAACUUCUCUCUAUAAGGAACUGAUUUCAUCUGAAAUUGAAGAGACAAUCAGAGAAAAACUAUAGACCACUCAUGAUGGUUGUUAUAUGUGCUUGGCUGGGCCAUGGGUCCCAGUGUUUGGUGAAACACAGCAGCAGAUGUCCCUCACACACAUGCCCUCUUGGUUCUGUUUCUUUGAAGAACCCCAGGAAAACACACAAAGGAAAAACAACUCGAUAGACAGAAGAUUCUUCAAUGACAACAAUGGAAGCCAUCUUCACCAUUCAACUAAACUUGAAUGGGAUAUUAUCAAACUUAAAAAAAAAUUAUCAACUGAUCGUG
This 1030-nucleotide long non-coding RNA is filed under the name Homo sapiens (human). Its description in RNAcentral is "non-protein coding lnc-IGFBP3-4:11". The record is from RNAcentral. Lineage: Eukaryota; Metazoa; Chordata; Mammalia; Primates; Hominidae.